GGGGAAAGGCUCGCCGGCGUCGCUUUGCAGAAGGGAGGAGAGCGAGAGAGGUGCCUAGACUGUCUCUCACGGUUUCGGGAAAUGCCUAGACCGUCUCCCAGAGCGCCCUCUUGGAAGCCCCAGAGGCUUGCCAGAACUGAAUUCUCCAGGUUUGCCUGGCCACUCCCAGGUGGCAGGAGGAGAGCUUGUAUAUCCUGGUAGGUGAGAGCGCCUUACAUUUUAAUUAUAUUAUUAUUAAGAAGACUGUGCAAGCUUCAACCCGGCAAGAGCCUGCUGCAAAUUAUUGCACAGACCCUCAGAGGGGGGUUGCAGCGGUGUCUGCCUACAGAGGGAUGUGGUCCUUGUGCUGAAAUGAUCCCCUAAAACCAUUUAGUGGUGCACACCCCCCAUGGUAUCUGUAGAGAUGAAGGUUGGUCUAUAUUUUUUAAUAUUAAACAAGCACAUGAAUACAACCCUGCUGAGGUGCACGCACCAUUGUGAAACCUCAGGAGAUUAUGGUGAUGCAGCUCCAGGGUUGCCGUCAGUUGCAGACUACCUGUGACAUCAUAAUUGUACAUGGCAACUGAGUGGAUAUAAAGGUGGGCCUUUUUCUCUUCUCCAACAGAACAUAGCAGAAACAGUUGUAAGAUUCAGGGUUGCCCAGUCUUCUUCCACUUGGAGAAGGUGAAUUGGCAGGUGGAUGGAGGCAAUCAUCUGGUUGUGGGAUGCUGUGGAGCAAUGAUAAUGCAAGUUCACUUGCUGAGCAGGUGGAUGGAGGCAAUCAUCUGGUUGUGGGAUGUUGUGGAACAAUAAUAAGGCAAGUUCACUUGCUGAGCAGGAUCACGUCUUGAAGGCAUCUGAUAAUCCAUGGUCAUAAGCUGGUUGAUGUCUAAUGAUGGACCUAGCAGAUGUUAGUGGGUGGAAGCUGGUAAAGUCAGCAUUCAAAAACAGGUACGUAGAUGCCUCAAGGCUGAAGCAGGCUGAUGUUUGUGAAUGUCAGUUGGUUGGCAUUUAGGUCUGGAAGCCAAUCAACAAAAACGGGUGGAUAUUGAAGUUGGGGCAUGAUUGUGAAUGGAGAACAAAAGAUGAGCACUGGCCCCUGCACCAUUAGGGAGGGGGGUACCAUCACGGCCGCCACCGCCCCCGGACGUGCGCCCCCCCCCCACAGUGCUGGGUGCCAUGCCCCUGGGACGCACACCACACCCCCGGUGCCAGAGCCUGCAGCUUCGCCACUGAAGGUGAGUGAAGGUGUCUGUUAUUGUUAUACAUUUACAGUGGUACCUUGGGUUACAGACGCUUCAGGUUAUAGACUGUUAAAUGUUUGGAAAAAGUCAGAAGCCCAAGGCAGUAUAAGUUCCUCAACUACGUUUAUUCAACAUUUGUCAGUGACAACAGCUUACUCAUAGGAAAACAAGAACCGAACUGACUGGAUAAUA
Non-coding RNA from Podarcis muralis (Common wall lizard), 1415 nucleotides. Lineage: Eukaryota; Metazoa; Chordata; Lepidosauria; Squamata; Lacertidae. The record is from RefSeq and is a predicted model, not a curated record.